This is an RNA transcript of Rosa rugosa (rugosa rose), 1952 nucleotides long. RefSeq lists it as uncharacterized. The record is from RefSeq and is a predicted model, not a curated record. Lineage: Eukaryota; Viridiplantae; Streptophyta; Magnoliopsida; Rosales; Rosaceae. The transcript is spliced from 10 exons.
ACAACUAACUUAUGGAUUUGUUUUGGCCUUAGACCCCGUGUUUUUUCCACAAGACUCAACAGCUCUCUUUCCACAGAAACUCAGCCCCUCUCUCGACCUAGAGUGAACUUCCACAUAAACUCAGAUCGAUUCAUGUCUCAAAACCAGGAGAGGUUCUUCUCCCCCCAAAAGAGAUAGAAGCUACAAACGCACUCCUCGGGCUGAGUUUUGGUAUAGAUCAGAAGAGUCUUCUCAACCUCUCUCCGAUUUUGAGGCCCUCGUCACUAUUGGUCAAGUUCUUCAAUUUGAAGAAGGAGCGAGUUCGAUUCAUUGUUGUUCAUUGUCUAGGUGCGGGGACUGGGCAUUAGGUGCUGGAAAAAAUAUGUCAAAACAACUCAAUCUGUCAACGCUGUAAUCAAUUCUUUCACUUCGACGAAAACCCAGACCUCUCUCUCAGUCUCUUAGUCCCCUUGACCGUCGACGGUAGCAGCACAGUGGUCUUCUCAUUCAUUAUCAAGUUCCUUUCUUUUCAACGUUUCUGGUGUUAAUUCUUGAUUCUUGGAUUUGGGUUUUGAUCUUUCCUAGAAUCAAUUUCACAUAUAGUUCUUUAUUGCAGCUUGACUUGCGGUCUGGAGCAAAGAAGUCACUAGCUGAUCCCCCGAAACAAACAUUUGCUCUAAAAUCUUGUGAUAUCAAUUCCACUAGGCCUCAUCUGCUAUUAGUUGGUGGGAGUGAUGCAUUUGCGCGUUUAUAUGAUAGAAGGAUGCUUCCUCCUCUGACAUCCUGCCGGAAAAGGACGUCUCCACCUCCUUGUGUUAACUAUUUCUGUCCGAUGCAUCUCUCUGAUCGUGGACGUACAAGCUUGCACUUAACUCAUGUUACAUUUAGCCCAGAUGGAGAAGAGGUUCUACUUAGUUAUAGUGGGGAGCAUGUAUAUUUGAUGAACGUAAAUCAUGCUGGUGGAAGUGAUGUGCAGUAUACUUCAGGAGAUGCUUCAAAGAUAAUGAGCUUCAUACCUAUACUGAAUGGGCUAGAACUGCAACAACCAGCAUCCAGUGUCUUCAGAAGUCGUCUUCCUAAAAGACGCAAGGCCACUGCUAUGUUGCUGCAGCAUGAAAAGUGCUGUAAACUAACUCAAAUUGCUGAGAAGUCCUUGGAGGAGGGAACUUUUAUCAUGGCAUUGAGGCAUGCAAUGAGGUGCUGGAUGGAUAUGGUCGCGAUAUUGGGCCCAUACUAAGGCAUGAUUGUCUCUGUACUCGUGCCGCAUUGUUGCUUAAGCAUAAUUGGAAAAACGAUGCUCAUAUGGCUAUAAGAGAUUGCUAUAAUGCCCGGAAAAUUGAUAACUCCUCUUUCAGAGCUCAUUACUAUAUGUCUGAAGCUUUACCACAGAAGCUGUAGAAUUUGCUAUGGCAACACAAUCUUUAGCUCCGUCAAAUCCUGAGGUAACAGCACAAUUGGAGUGUAAAAAGAAAGCUUGCUGCAGGUAUCUGCUGGAGCGUCUAUGGUGGAUAGGGUUCAUUAAAGCAGGAAUUUUUUUGAAUCCAAUUGUCAGGCCUAUCAAUUACCCUGCAUUCUAUGAGUGGGGAACGAGGUCAAAUUUGAUUUACACAGACAAGGAUAUUGAUGAGAUCCGAGUGGAAUGGGCUAAGCAUGUUUUGAAGUUCCCAGAAAAUUAAGUAUCAGCCUAUAUAUAUGCUUUUGUUUCUGGUAGGUUAUGAGCAGUAGUAGUGUCUAGGAACUUCUUUUGUGCAUUUUGACAGAACUGAUGGAAAGUGUUGAACAAAUGCAUGCAGUUGCUGUAACUACUCUAUGGAUGCUACUAGGUUUUUGUCUUAGUUAGAUUAGGAUCCAUGCAACAAUGGCAGUAAUUAAAAUCGGUUGAUGUAAAGGCUAGCAUGCUUGCUAGUUUAGUAUUAUGCUACUGAUGGGAAUGUAUUUUGGUGGGUUAAUUUAUGCAAUGAGGAAUUUGUUGA